GAGACUACCUGAGUUGUUUUUCAGGUGUUGCGGUGGCUUUGGCUGCGUCCAGAUACUUUUGCUAUUGCUCCUCUCCUAUCUAGCUAUAGAGAAGCAAGGAUGCCACAACUCAUCCCUAUCCUGGUCCUGGUUUUUUGAGAGUGCCACAUCAAAGAAGGUCUUUGGGCCAGGAUGUGGCUCAGGGUAUGGUGACAAAUGAUGAUGGCAAGCUUACCCUCUGUCCCCAACCAACAAACCACUGAUGUAUCAUGUAAUGGAGUUGUGCAACAAAAUUGUGUGAGAAUGUAAAACGCUACAUUUCCAACCCCAUUUCCAAAAACGUUGGGAUGCUGUGCAAAAUGUAAAUAAAAUUUGAAUGCAAUGAUA
This is a long non-coding RNA of Pygocentrus nattereri (red-bellied piranha), 366 nucleotides long. RefSeq lists it as uncharacterized. Lineage: Eukaryota; Metazoa; Chordata; Actinopteri; Characiformes; Serrasalmidae. The record is from RefSeq and is a predicted model, not a curated record. The transcript has 2 exons.